This 891-nucleotide ribosomal RNA is filed under the name Lacticaseibacillus paracasei. RNAcentral describes it as "bacterial SSU rRNA". It matches the Rfam family "Bacterial small subunit ribosomal RNA", at positions 1 to 890 of the family's 1533-position model. Lineage: Bacteria; Bacillati; Bacillota; Bacilli; Lactobacillales; Lactobacillaceae. The record is from RNAcentral.
UCAAAUCCGCUACAUACAUAUUAUGCAAGUCGAACGAGUUCUCGUUGAUGAUCGGUGCUUGCACCGAGAUUCAACAUGGAACGAGUGGCGGACGGGUGAGUAACACGUGGGUAACCUGCCCUUAAGUGGGGGAUAACAUUUGGAAACAGAUGCUAAUACCGCAUAGAUCCAAGAACCGCAUGGUUCUUGGCUGAAAGAUGGCGUAAGCUAUCGCUUUUGGAUGGACCCGCGGCGUAUUAACUAGUUGGUGAGGUAAUGGCUCACCACGGCGAUGAUACGUAUCCUAAAUGAUAGGUUGAACCCCCCACUGAGACUGAAACACGGCCCAAACUCAUACGGGAGGCAGCAGUAGGGAAUCUUCCACAAUGGACGCAAGUCUGAUGGGGCAACGCCGCGUGAGUGAAGAAGGCUUUCGGGUCGUAAAACUCUGUUGUUGGAGAAGAAUGGUCGGCAGAGUAACUGUUGUCGGCGUGACGGUAUCCAACCAGAAAGCCACGGCUAACUACGUGCCAGCAGCCGCGGUAAUACGUAGGUGGCAAGCGUUAUCCGGAUUUAUUGGGCGUAAAGCCAGCGCAGGCGGUUUUUUAAGUCUGAUGUGAAAGACCUCGGCUUAACCGAGGAAGCGCAUCGGAAACUGGGAAACUUGAGUGCAGAAGAGGACAGUGGAACUCCAUGUGUAGCGGUGAAAUGCGUAGAUAUAUGGAAGAACACCAGUGGCGAAGGCGGCUGUCUGGUCUGUAACUGACGCUGAGGCUCGAAAGCAUGGGUAGCGAACAGGAUUAGAUACGCUGGUAGUCCAUGCCGUUAACGAUGAAUGCUAGGUGUUGGAGGGUUUCCGCCCUUCAGUGCCGCAGCUAACGCAUAAGCAUCCGUCCCGGGGAUGCGGCCCCC